RNAcentral lists this long non-coding RNA (269 nucleotides) under Elaeis guineensis (African oil palm). RNAcentral describes it as "long non-coding RNA (EGUI_LNC009230)". The record is from RNAcentral. Lineage: Eukaryota; Viridiplantae; Streptophyta; Magnoliopsida; Arecales; Arecaceae.
AUAUUGUUGAAGAUUUAUAUAUUUUGUAAAUCUUGCAUGAUCUCUAAGAUAAUGUUCUAGGGGUCAUGCGGCUGUGUUAUGUGAUCGAAUCAUUAUUAGAUGUGUACCUGAAGUCAAUUAGGUCGAUACAUGUAAAACUUUCUAAGGACAUAAUUUAUAAUUUUGACCUAUUAAUGAAAUAAAAUUGGAUUAUUUUUCAUUCAUAUUGUGUAAUGUGUCUAUAAAUCAUCCAAUGAUUAGGGUAGAUGAGUCUCGAGUCUACAAUGUGG